GUACACUCCUGCGGGGAGGCAGCAGUGGGGAAUAUUGCACAAUGGGCGCAAGCCUGAUGCAGCCAUGCCGCGUGUAUGAAGAAGGCCUUCGGGUUGUAAAGUACUUUCAGCGGGGAGGAAGGCAAUACGGUUAAUAACCGUGUUGAUUGACGUUACCCGCAGAAGAAGCACCGGCUAACUCCGUGCCAGCAGCCGCGGUAAUACGGAGGGUGCAAGCGUUAAUCGGAAUUACUGGGCGUAAAGCGCACGCAGGCGGUCUGUCAAGUCGGAUGUGAAAUCCCCGGGCUCAACCUGGGAACUGCAUUCGAAACUGGCAGGCUUGAGUCUUGUAGAGGGGGGUAGAAUUCCAGGUGUAGCGGUGAAAUGCGUAGAGAUCUGGAGGAAUACCGGUGGCGAAGGCGGCCCCCUGGACAAAGACUGACGCUCAGGUGCGAAAGCGUGGGGAGCAAACAGGAUUAGAAACCCUGGUAGUCCCAUG
RNAcentral lists this ribosomal RNA (478 nucleotides) under uncultured organism. Its description in RNAcentral is "partial 16S ribosomal RNA". It matches the Rfam family "Bacterial small subunit ribosomal RNA", at positions 331 to 799 of the family's 1533-position model. The record is from RNAcentral.